Molecule: ribosomal RNA, 432 nt
Filed under: Triticum aestivum (bread wheat)
Lineage: Eukaryota; Viridiplantae; Streptophyta; Magnoliopsida; Poales; Poaceae
Description: partial small subunit ribosomal RNA
Source: RNAcentral
AUGAGGUUCACCAUCAACGAGAACGACUACUUUGAGCUCGUGACGGUGGCAAAUGUCGCCGGUAGUGGCGUGGUGUCCCAAAUGUGGAUUAAGGGGUCCAAGACUGACUGGAUGGUAAUGAGCAGGAAUUGGGGUGCCAGCUGGCAGAGCAAUGCCUACCUCAACGGCCAGAGCGUGUCCUUCCGGGUACAGACCGACGACAACCGGGUCGUCACGGCCGACGAUGUUGCGCCGUCCAACUGGUGGUUCGGUGGCACCUACACUUCAUGGCAACACCAACCGUGGCCGGCGGCGCUAUCGUGCAUGCCUUGCUGCCCUGGCCAUCUCUCUAAACCCCACCAUGAUUCUUUGACCAGCGACCUUCCCGAACUACUCGCACCUGAAACCGUCAAGGCUGAGCCGAUGCUCGGUGGCCCAGUGUUGUGGUGCUAG